Molecule: ribosomal RNA, 477 nt
Filed under: Triticum aestivum (bread wheat)
Lineage: Eukaryota; Viridiplantae; Streptophyta; Magnoliopsida; Poales; Poaceae
Description: partial small subunit ribosomal RNA
Source: RNAcentral
AUGGCGGCUUCCCUCCGCGCGGCGGCCAAGAGGAUGCUGCGCCCGGCGGUGCAUCCAGGGGAGGGGCUUCGCACCCAGCACCAGCAGCAUUCCGGAACCCCCCGUGCCUUGGAUGAAGGAUACAACCAUGCAUCGCAAAUCCAGCAGAAGAAGGAGGAGUUGUACAAUCUCAUCGCCAAGGCUGUGGCGGAGCCCACUACCACCUGGCUGGACAGGCGACUGCUCAAGGCUCUCUCCUUGCAAAUCAAGCCUAGACCAAAGGACCCUCAGUGGCGCAAGAUAAUUUUGACCAAGGUGGCCACCCAUUGUACAUAUGCUGUGGGUAUUCUUGUUGCUUAUGUCAGAUGUCCUCGCACUGAAGACGGUGCUAAAAUAGUAAGGUACGAUGGACAUCUUGUUACUGUUGAGAGUCUGCCCAUGCUACAAGGAUAUCAGCCUGCUACUCCUGCUGAGGGAGUGCCCAAGCAAAUGAGUUGA